AUUUUCCGGUUGAUCCUGCCGGAGGUUACUGCUAUCGAGGUUCGACUAAGCCAUGCGAGUCGAAUGUAGCAAUACAUGGCGUACUGCUCAGUAACACGUGGACAACCUGCCCUUAGGUUGGGUAUAAACCCGGGAAACUGGGUAUAAUCCCCUAUAAGUCUCGGCUGCUGGAAUGCACCGAGAUUAAAAGCUCCGGCGCCUAAGGAUGGGUCUGCGGCCUAUCAGGUAGUAGUGGGUGUAGCGUACCUACUAGCCUACGACGGGUACGGGUUGUGAGAGCAAGAGCCCGGAGAUGGAUUCUGAGACACGAAUCCAGGCCCUACGGGGUGCAGCAGGCGCGAAAACUUUACAAUGCUGGCAACAGCGAUAAGGGAACCUCGAGUGCCAGGUUACAAAUCUGGCUGUCGAGAUGCCUAAAAAGCAUUUCAUAGCAAGGGCCGGGCAAGACCGGUGCCAGCCGCCGCGGUAACACCGGCGGCUCGAGUGGUAACCGUUAUUAUUGGGUCUAAAGGGUCUGUAGCCGGCCGGAUAAGUCUCUUGAGAAAUCUGGCAGCUUAACUGUCAGGCUUUCAGGAGAUACUGUCUGGCUCGAGGCCGGGAGAGGUGAGAGGUACUUCAGGGGUAGGGGUGAAAUCUUGUAAUCCUUGAAGGACCACCAGUGGCGAAGGCGUCUCACCAGAACGGACCUGACGGCAAGGGACGAAAGCUAGGGGCACGAACCGGAUUAGAUACCCGGGUAGUCCUAGCCGUAAACGAUACUCGCUAGGUGUCGGCCACGGUGCGACCGUUGUCGGUGCCGUAGGGAAGCCGUGAAGCGAGCCACCUGGGAAGUACGGCCGCAAGGCUGAAACUUAAAGGAAUUGGCGGGGGAGCACCACAACGGGUGGAGCUUGCGGUUUAAUUGGAUUCAACGCCGGAAAU
This 921-nucleotide ribosomal RNA is filed under the name uncultured Methanosaeta sp. Its description in RNAcentral is "bacterial SSU rRNA". It matches the Rfam family "Archaeal small subunit ribosomal RNA", at positions 1 to 925 of the family's 1478-position model. The record is from RNAcentral. Lineage: Archaea; Methanobacteriati; Methanobacteriota; Methanomicrobia; Methanotrichales; Methanotrichaceae.